This 253-nucleotide ribosomal RNA is filed under the name uncultured bacterium. RNAcentral describes it as "partial 16S ribosomal RNA". It matches the Rfam family "Bacterial small subunit ribosomal RNA", at positions 524 to 776 of the family's 1533-position model. The record is from RNAcentral.
UACGUAGGGGGCAAGCGUUGUCCGGAAUCAUUGGGCGUAAAGAGCGUGUAGGCGGCCCGAUAAGUCCGCUGUGAAAGUCCAGGGCUCAACCCUGGAAUGCCGGUGGAUACUGUCGGGCUCGAAUCCGGAAGAGGUGAGUGGAAUUCCUGGUGUAGCGGUGAAAUGCGCAGAUAUCAGGAAGAACACCCGUGGCGAAAGCGGCUCUCUGGAACGGUACUGACGCUGAGACGCGAAAGCGUGGGGAGCGAACAGG